GAAAUGCGAUAAGUAGUGUGAAUUGCAGAAUUCAGUGAAUCAUCGAAUCUUUGAACGCACAUUGCGCUCCCUGGUAUUCCUAGGAGCAUGCCUGUUUGAGUAUCAGUAAACUAUCUCACUACACAUCUCGAUGUGUUUUGGGGAUCUGAGGUAUCCCAGGCAGAGGUAACUCUGAAACUGGGCGCCUUAAAAUUUAUUGUUUGGCUCGGAUCUCUAAGACCCUAUGGCUAAAAAGCGCGACAAAACUGACGAGCUCAAGCUCUAAGGUUAAAAUCCGCUGCUUGGCUCAUGGAGAAAAUUUGGAGACUCUAUCGCCUGCUCAAUAUUUUAACACGCAAUCUAUGGCUCUGGUCAUACUUUGUGAUCUUGAUCUCAAAUCAGGCAAGACUACCCGCUGAAC
Molecule: unclassified non-coding RNA, 400 nt
Filed under: uncultured fungus
Lineage: Eukaryota; Fungi
Description: sequence contains ITS1
Rfam family: 5.8S ribosomal RNA (bases 1-105)
Source: RNAcentral